Molecule: ribosomal RNA, 519 nt
Filed under: uncultured bacterium
Lineage: Bacteria
Description: bacterial SSU rRNA
Rfam family: Bacterial small subunit ribosomal RNA
Source: RNAcentral
ACGAAAGUCUGACGGAGCAACGCCGCGUGAGUGAUGAAGGUCUUCGGAUUGUAAAACUCUGUCAUUCGGGAAGAACAAGUAUCGGUUGAACAAGCCGGUACCUUGACGGUACCGAAGGAGGAAGCCCCGGCUAACUACGUGCCAGCAGCCGCGGUAAUACGUAGGGGGCAAGCGUUGUCCGGAAUUAUUGGGCGUAAAGCGCGCGCAGGCGGUUCUUUAAGUCUGAUGUGAAAGCCCACGGCUCAACCGUGGAGGGUCAUUGGAAACUGGAGAACUUGAGUGCAGGAGAGGAAAGUGGAAUUCCACGUGUAGCGGUGAAAUGCGUAGAGAUGUGGAGGAACACCAGUGGCGAAGGCGACUUUCUGGCCUGUAACUGACGCUGAGGCGCGAAAGCGUGGGGAGCAAACAGGAUUAGAUACCCUGGUAGUCCACGCCGUAAACGAUGAGUGCUAGGUGUUAGGGGUUUCGAUACCCUUAGUGCCGAAGUUAACACAUUAAGCACUCCGCCUGGGGAGUACG